RNAcentral lists this ribosomal RNA (574 nucleotides) under Xanthomonas sp. Its description in RNAcentral is "bacterial SSU rRNA". It matches the Rfam family "Bacterial small subunit ribosomal RNA", at positions 149 to 718 of the family's 1533-position model. The record is from RNAcentral. Lineage: Bacteria; Pseudomonadati; Pseudomonadota; Gammaproteobacteria; Lysobacterales; Lysobacteraceae.
UAGGGAAACUUACGCUAAUACCGCAUACGACCUUAGGGUGAAAGCGGAGGACCUUCGGGCUUCGCGCGGAUAGAUGAGCCGAUGUCGGAUUAGCUAGUUGGCGGGGUAAAGGCCCACCAAGGCGACGAUCCGUAGCUGGUCUGAGAGGAUGAUCAGCCACACUGGAACUGAGACACGGUCCAGACUCCUACGGGAGGCAGCAGUGGGGAAUAUUGGACAAUGGGCGCAAGCCUGAUCCAGCCAUGCCGCGUGGGUGAAGAAGGCCUUCGGGUUGUAAAGCCCUUUUGUUGGGAAAGAAAAGCAGCCGGUUAAUACCCGGUUGUUCUGACGGUACCCAAAGAAUAAGCACCGGCUAACUUCGUGCCAGCAGCCGCGGUAAUACGAAGGGUGCAAGCGUUACUCGGAAUUACUGGGCGUAAAGCGUGCGUAGGUGGUUGUUUAAGUCCGUUGUGAAAGCCCUGGGCUCAACCUGGGAAUUGCAGUGGAUACUGGGCAACUAGAGUGUGGUAGAGGAUGGCGGAAUUCCCGGUGUAGCAGUGAAAUGCGUAGAGAUCGGGAGGAACAUCUGUGGCGA